This 261-nucleotide signal recognition particle RNA is filed under the name Bacillota bacterium. RNAcentral's name for it is "partial signal recognition particle sRNA large type". It matches the Rfam family "Bacterial large signal recognition particle RNA". Rfam says of the family: The signal recognition particle (SRP) is a universally conserved ribonucleoprotein involved in the co-translational targeting of proteins to membranes. Archaeal SRP consists of a 7S RNA and homologues of the eukaryotic SRP19 and SRP54 proteins. In most bacteria, the SRP consists of a 4.5S RNA and the Ffh protein (a homologue of the eukaryotic SRP54 protein). Lineage: Bacteria; Bacillati; Bacillota. The record is from RNAcentral.
GCUAGAUGGGGAGGUAGCGGUGCCCUGAACCUGCAACCCGCUAUAGCAGGAUUGAAGACCUACGUUGAGGCAUUUCAGCUGUGGGGUCCGGUUCCGGCAAGUGGUGUUGACGGUCGGGUCCUGGGCAAUUGGCCUCUGUGAACCCCGUCAGAUCCGGAAGGAAGCAGCGGUAAGCGGAAGCGCCAAUGUGCCCCAGGGCAGCCUGGCUCGAGCUAACUGCCGGCGUGCCGCCUGGAGCUGAAUGUCGAGAGUAGGGCACGG